UGCAGAUGAUGUAAGAGAAUAUUUGCUAUCUGAACGAUGGUGAUGACCUCGUAACCACCAAGAUCGCUGAUGCA
RNAcentral lists this small nucleolar RNA (74 nucleotides) under Microcebus murinus (gray mouse lemur). Its description in RNAcentral is "Small nucleolar RNA SNORD24 (ENSMICG00000033987.2)". It matches the Rfam family "Small nucleolar RNA SNORD24". Rfam says of the family: U24 is a member of the C/D class of snoRNA which contain the C (UGAUGA) and D (CUGA) box motifs. C/D box snoRNAs have been shown to act as methylation guides for a number of RNA targets. Lineage: Eukaryota; Metazoa; Chordata; Mammalia; Primates; Cheirogaleidae. The record is from Rfam by way of RNAcentral.